CGGCUAACUCCGUGCCAGCAGCCGCGGUAAUACGGAGGGUGCGAGCGUUAAUCGGAAUCACUGGGCGUAAAGCGCGCGUAGGCGGCGCGAUAAGUCAGGCGUGAAAGCCCUCGGCUCAACCGGGGAAUUGCGCUUGAUACUGUCGUGCUUGAGUCUCGGAGAGGGUGGCGGAAUUUCAGGUGUAGGAGUGAAAUCCGUAGAUAUCUGAAGGAACACCAGUGGCGAAGGCGGCCACCUGGACGAGU
Molecule: ribosomal RNA, 245 nt
Filed under: uncultured delta proteobacterium
Lineage: Bacteria; Deltaproteobacteria
Description: partial 16S ribosomal RNA
Rfam family: Bacterial small subunit ribosomal RNA
Source: RNAcentral